GUUAAUAGUUUAUGCUAAUAGCACUGGUCUUACAGGAUGGAGGGAUUCAAUACUUUGAUAUGUACCUUCUCCGUUAAAUCAACUUAAACUGUAUUCAUCCACUAAUGUAAAUCCUUUGUAGAACUUUUUCAGAGAGAUCAUGCAGGCAUCGUUAAAAUCGGCUUUAGGGCUAUAUUACUAGAUCAUAGAACUUUAUAAAAGAUAUGUAAGCUCUCGGUCUAAAAAU
Zophobas morio is the source of this 226-nucleotide long non-coding RNA. RefSeq lists it as uncharacterized. The record is from RefSeq and is a predicted model, not a curated record. NCBI's taxonomy places the organism in Eukaryota, Metazoa, Arthropoda, Insecta, Coleoptera, Tenebrionidae. The transcript is spliced from 3 exons.